Molecule: ribosomal RNA, 269 nt
Filed under: uncultured prokaryote
Description: partial 16S ribosomal RNA
Rfam family: Archaeal small subunit ribosomal RNA
Source: RNAcentral
UACCAGCAGUCCAAGUGCAGCCGCUUUUAUUGGGUCUAAAACAUCCGUAGCUUGUUUGGUAAGUCUUCUGUGAAAUCUGACAUCUUAAGUGUCAGGCGUGCAAGAGAUACUGCCAAGCUAGAGACCGGGAGACGUAAGGAGUAUGUAUAGGGUAGCGGUCAAAUGCACUGAUCCUAUAUAGACUAACGAUAGCGAAGGCACCUUACGAGAACGGAUCUGACAGUGAGGGAUGAAGGCUAGGGUCGCAAAACGGAUUAGAUACCCCCGUA